CACUAUCGUUAACUGAAUACAUAGGUUAACGAGGCGAACCGGGGGAACUGAAACAUCUAAGUACCCCGAGGAAAAGAAAUCAACCGAGAUUCCCCCAGUAGCGGCGAGCGAACGGGGAGCAGCCCAGAGUCUGAAUCAGCUUGUGUGUUAGUGGAACGGUCUGGAAAGUCCGACGGUACAGGGUGAUAGUCCCGUACACCAAAAUGCACAGGCUGUGAACUCGAAGAGUAGGGCGGGACACGUGGUAUCCUGUCUGAAUAUGGGGGGACCAUCCUCCAAGGCUAAAUACUCCUGACUGACCGAUAGUGAACCAGUACCGUGAGGGAAAGGCGAAAAGAACCCCGGCGAGGGGAGUGAAAAAGAACCUGAAACCGUGUACGUACAAGCAGUGGGAGCACCUUCGGGUGUGACUGCGUACCUUUUGUAUAAUGGGUCAGCGACUUAUAUUCUGUAGCAAGGUUAACCGUAUAGGGGAGCCGCAGGGAAACCGAGUCUUAACUGGGCGUUAAGUUGCAGGGUAUAGACCCGAAACCCGGUGAUCUAGCCAUGGGCAGGUUGAAGGUUGGGUAACACUAACUGGAGGACCGAACCGACUAAUGUUGAAAAAUUAGCGGAUGACUUGUGGCUGGGGGUGAAAGGCCAAUCAAACCGGGAGAUAGCUGGUUCUCCCCGAAAGCUAUUUAGGUAGCGCCUCGUGAAUUCAUCUUCGGGGGUAGAGCACUGUUUCGGCUAGGGGGUCAUCCCGACUUACCAACCCGAUGCAAACUACGAAUACCGAAGAAUGUUAUCACGGGAGACACACGGCGGGUGCUAACGUCCGUCGUGAAGAGGGAAACAACCCAGACCGCCAGCUAAGGUCCCAAAGUCAUGGUUAAGUGGGAAACGAUGUGGGAAGGCACAGACAGCCAGGAUGUUGGCUUAGAAGCAGCCAUCAUUUAAAGAAAGCGUAAUAGCUCACUGGUCGAGUCGGCCUGCGCGGAAGAUGUAACGGGGCUAAACCAUGCACCGAAGCUGCGGCAGCGACACUAUGUGUUGUUGGGUAGGGGAGCGUUCUGUAAGCCUGCGAAGGUGUGCUGUGAGGCAUGCUGGAGGUAUCAGAAGUGCGAAUGCUGACAUAAGUAACGAUAAAGCGGGUGAAAAGCCCGCUCGCCGGAAGACCAAGGGUUCCUGUCCAACGUUAAUCGGGGCAGGGUGAGUCGACCCCUAAGGCGAGGCCGAAAGGCGUAGUCGAUGGGAAACAGGUUAAUAUUCCUGUACUUGGUGUUACUGCGAAGGGGGGACGGAGAAGGCUAUGUUAGCCGGGCGACGGUUGUCCCGGUUUAAGCAUGUAGGCUGGUUAUCCAGGCAAAUCCGGAUAAUCAAGGCUGAGGUGUGAUGACGAGGCACUACGGUGCUGAAGUAACAAAUGCCCUGCUUCCAGGAAAAGCCUCUAAGCAUCAGGUAACAUUAAAUCGUACCCCAAACCGACACAGGUGGUCAGGUAGAGAAUACCAAGGCGCUUGAGAGAACUCGGGUGAAGGAACUAGGCAAAAUGGUGCCGUAACUUCGGGAGAAGGCACGCUGGUGUGUAGGUGAAGUCCCUGCGGAUGGAGCUGAGACCAGUCGAAGAUACCAGCUGGCUGCAACUGUUUAUUAAAAACACAGCACUGUGCAAACACGAAAGUGGACGUAUACGGUGUGACGCCUGCCCGGUGCCGGAAGGUUAAUUGAUGGGGUUAUCCGUAAGGAGAAGCUCUUGAUCGAAGCCCCGGUAAACGGCGGCCGUAACUAUAACGGUCCUAAGGUAGCGAAAUUCCUUGUCGGGUAAGUUCCGACCUGCACGAAUGGCGUAAUGAUGGCCAGGCUGUCUCCACCCGAGACUCAGUGAAAUUGAACUCGCUGUGAAGAUGCAGUGUACCCGCGGCAAGACGGAAAGACCCCGUGAACCUUUACUAUAGCUUGACACUGAACAUUGAGCCUUGAUGUGUAGGAUAGGUGGGAGGCUUUGAAGCGUGGACGCCAGUCUGCGUGGAGCCAACCUUGAAAUACCACCCUUUAAUGUUUGAUGUUCUAACGUUGGCCCCUUACCGGGGUUGCGGACAGUGUCUGGUGGGUAGUUUGACUGGGGCGGUCUCCUCCCAAAGCGUAACGGAGGAGCACGAAGGUUAGCUAAUCCUGGUCGGACAUCAGGAGGUUAGUGCAAUGGCAUAAGCUAGCUUGACUGCGAGCGUGACGGCGCGAGCAGGUGCGAAAGCAGGUCAUAGUGAUCCGGUGGUUCUGAAUGGAAGGGCCAUCGCUCAACGGAUAAAAGGUACUCCGGGGAUAACAGGCUGAUACCGCCCAAGAGUUCAUAUCGACGGCGGUGUUUGGCACCUCGAUGUCGGCUCAUCACAUCCUGGGGCUGAAGUAGGUCCCAAGGGUAUGGCUGUUCGCCAUUUAAAGUGGUACGCGAGCUGGGUUUAGAACGUCGUGAGACAGUUCGGUCCCUAUCUGCCGUGGGCGCUGGAGAAUUGAGGGGGGCUGCUCCUAGUACGAGAGGACCGGAGUGGACGCAUCACUGGUGUUCGGGUUGUCAUGCCAAUGGCACUGCCCGGUAGCUAAAUGCGGAAGAGAUAAGUGCUGAAAGCAUCUAAGCACGAAACUUGCCCCGAGAUGAGUUCUCCCUGAGACUUUAAGUCUCCUGAAGGAACGUU
This 2672-nucleotide ribosomal RNA is filed under the name Klebsiella pneumoniae. RNAcentral describes it as "partial 23S ribosomal RNA". It matches the Rfam family "Bacterial large subunit ribosomal RNA". Lineage: Bacteria; Pseudomonadati; Pseudomonadota; Gammaproteobacteria; Enterobacterales; Enterobacteriaceae. The record is from RNAcentral.